RNAcentral lists this ribosomal RNA (497 nucleotides) under uncultured bacterium. RNAcentral's name for it is "partial 16S ribosomal RNA". It matches the Rfam family "Bacterial small subunit ribosomal RNA", at positions 28 to 507 of the family's 1533-position model. The record is from RNAcentral.
GAUGAACGCUGGCGGCGUGCCUAAUACAUGCAAGUCGAGCGAACGGACGAGAAGCUUGCUUCUCUGAUGUUAGCGGCGGACGGGUGAGUAACACGUGGAUAACCUACCUAUAAGACUGGGAUAACUUCGGGAAACCGGAGCUAAUACCGGAUAAUAUUUUGAACCGCAUGAUUCAAAAGUGAAAGACGGUCUUGCUGUCACUUAUAGAUGGAUCCGCGCUGCAUUAGCUAGUUGGUAAGGUAACGGCUUACCAAGGCAACGAUGCAUAGCCGACCUGAGAGGGUGAUCGGCCACACUGGAACUGAGACACGGUCCAGACUCCUACGGGAGGCAGCAGUAGGGAAUCUUCCGCAAUGGGCGAAAGCCUGACGGGGCAACGCCGCGUGAGUGAUGAAGGUCUUCGGAUCGUAAAACUCUGUUAUUAGGGAAGAACAUAUGUGUAAGUAACUGUGCACAUCUUGACGGUACCUAAUCAGAAAGCCACGGCUAACUACGUG